RNAcentral lists this ribosomal RNA (262 nucleotides) under uncultured bacterium. Its description in RNAcentral is "partial 16S ribosomal RNA". It matches the Rfam family "Bacterial small subunit ribosomal RNA", at positions 91 to 354 of the family's 1533-position model. The record is from RNAcentral.
CGGACCGGCGCACGGGUGAGUAACACGUAUCCAACCUGCCGAUGACUCGGGGAUAGCCUUUCGAAAGAAAGAUUAAUACCCGAUGGCAUAGUUCUUCCGCAUGGUAGAACUAUUAAAGAAUUUCGGUCAUCGAUGGGGAUGCGUUCCAUUAGCUUGUUGGCGGGGUAACGGCCCACCAAGGCAUCGAUGGAUAGGGGUUCUGAGAGGAAGGUCCCCCACACUGAUACUGAGACACGGACCAGACUCCUACGGGAGGCAGCAG